RNAcentral lists this ribosomal RNA (679 nucleotides) under Escherichia coli. RNAcentral describes it as "bacterial SSU rRNA". It matches the Rfam family "Bacterial small subunit ribosomal RNA", at positions 1 to 669 of the family's 1533-position model. The record is from RNAcentral. Lineage: Bacteria; Pseudomonadati; Pseudomonadota; Gammaproteobacteria; Enterobacterales; Enterobacteriaceae.
AAAUUGAAGAGUUUGAUCAUGGCUCAGAUUGAACGCUGGCGGCAGGCCUAACACAUGCAAGUCGAACGGUAACAGGAAACAGCUUGCUGUUUCGCUGACGAGUGGCGGACGGGUGAGUAAUGUCUGGGAAACUGCCUGAUGGAGGGGGAUAACUACUGGAAACGGUAGCUAAUACCGCAUAACGUCGCAAGACCAAAGAGGGGGACCUUAGGGCCUCUUGCCAUCGGAUGUGCCCAGAUGGGAUUAGCUAGUAGGUGGGGUAAAGGCUCACCUAGGCGACGAUCCCUAGCUGGUCUGAGAGGAUGACCAGCCACACUGGAACUGAGACACGGUCCAGACUCCUACGGGAGGCAGCAGUGGGGAAUAUUGCACAAUGGGCGCAAGCCUGAUGCAGCCAUGCCGCGUGUAUGAAGAAGGCCUUCGGGUUGUAAAGUACUUUCAGCGGGGAGGAAGGGAGUAAAGUUAAUACCUUUGCUCAUUGACGUUACCCGCAGAAGAAGCACCGGCUAACUCCGUGCCAGCAGCCGCGGUAAUACGGAGGGUGCAAGCGUUAAUCGGAAUUACUGGGCGUAAAGCGCACGCAGGCGGUUUGUUAAGUCAGAUGUGAAAUCCCCGGGCUCAACCUGGGAACUGCAUCUGAUACUGGCAAGCUUGAGUCUCGUAGAGGGGGGUAGAAUUC